Molecule: non-coding RNA, 3115 nt
Organism: Anas platyrhynchos (mallard)
Lineage: Eukaryota; Metazoa; Chordata; Aves; Anseriformes; Anatidae
Source: RefSeq, a predicted model, not a curated record
ACCAGAGGCGGCGCGGCGGGCCGGGCCCACGCCGCCCGCCCAAGGUCACGGCGCGGUGUGCGGGGAGCCUCGGGCGGCCCCGGCCGCCACCUUCCCGCCCCCUCGGCGCCUCAUGGCCGCCCCACCCACCCCGCGGCCGUCGGCGAGCAAAAUGGAGGUGGCGGGGUCCCUUCCGACGGUACCCCUCGCCCCCCUGUUGUAGUCCCGUGGAGGAUGGCAGGGGUCUGGCCCCUAUCUUGCCCCCGCCCUGGAGCAGGCGGUGAGGAGCCUUCUCCCCGCGCCCUUGCAGCCAUUUUACAAAUUAGCUGGCCCGCUCCAGGAAAUGGAAGCCGCCGACCUCCCGCCGCUUGGUCAUUCAUGCAGGGGCAUGCGGUAUCCAGCCCUCCAACGCAGCGUGGAGCUGGCGGCCGCCUCCAUCUCAGAACCUUCUGGGUUUCUCCUCAGAGGUGUCCUCCUCAAGUGCUGCCACUGUGGGGCUGCCCGCGUGGAGACGCCAUGGUCUCCUUCUGGCCCAGCACAGGUGGCCUCCAUGAGGCGCAUCUGCGCGAAGGUGCUCCGUGAAGGAAAGGGCUCCGUUCCUCUGGAGGUUUCUCAAGUAGCAAGGCGUUUUCAUGCGGUUUCAUGGCUGUACGUUGUGAGAGAGAUGUUUCACCAGAUUUCCAUGCAAGCAUGAGGAUCAACUCAUUGCAGUCAGCUUGACAUCACGUGAGAAAAAAGCAAUGGAGAAAAAACUGCCUGAAGAAUGAAGGCAUGGGAUGGUGUAUCAUAGGAGAAGGAACAGAGACAGUGUAUGUGAAUGUCAGAAAAGAAGAAAGUACGGAAAUUACCCUGCUAGAGGAGACUUCGCUGUCAAAACAGUGUUUCCCUAAACCAGUACAAGCAGUGUUCUGUAACAGCAGUCAUUGAAAAGAGCAAGAAGAAAACCUGGUAGUGAGUAAGACUUACCAGAUAGAAGUGGCUCAGAAUUGGCUUCUGGUGUGAGUCAGCAAAGGUAUGUUUUCCAUGAAUUAUUGUCACAGCCACAUAACAGCCACUGUAGAGGAUGCUUUACCAGAACACAUACUUGUUCUGGAGCAUAAAUGAUUAUGUAGGACCUCACUCAAAGAACAUGGAAAUGAACGGAAGUGUUCUUUUGACCUCUACGAUUUUGAGUGCCUUCCACAGCUGUUCACCUCUCCUUCUGGUUCCUCUUGCCAUCCUGUUGUAUCAUUUACGGUUUCAUUUUAUGAAACUGAACCAUGUCUGGCAAAAAGGACUGAAGCUAAUCAUUGUUGUGUCUUUUCCUAUAUUGAAAAUUAAGAUGGCUUUGUCUUUGGCUGAACAUAUUGGUUCUUUGCCAGCACCUCCCAAAGACACUAAAAAUAACAUCUUUCCAUGUUCUGCUCUCUCUUGUUUGCAAAUGCUGUUCUUGCACCUGACGUGGUCAUAGAUAAUAGAAAGGUACCCGAACAGUCCUUUUAAAACCAAAAGAUCUGCUAACUUUGUGCCUAGUGAUAAAAAUAAAUGGGAUCUACAUGUGGGAAAGUGUAGAUCAUGUAGAAAUAAAUUUCAUAUGGGAACUCUCUUUCAAAAUUGGCAGCACAACUGUUUUCAACAGAUUUAGGAAGUCAUCAUAUACAUUAAGUGGGAGCAAAUGACAAGUGUUAUUUUCUUAUAUUCCUGUAUAUCUUGAACAUCAGGUAAGAAUCCAUGGUAAGAGACACUGGGUUUUGGUCUCAUUUUUAUGUGGGUAGAAACGGAAGUGUGAAGAGGAUAACUCAAGUGCUUUGUUCUGUUAAGCAAAAAAUAAAGUUGUGUGAAUACCUAAGAAUGUUAGAAGUUGUAAUGCAACGUGGGACUUGAAACUUGGGCAGUGCCAGUUAAAGGAAGUUGGGUUAAGUUUUAUCAGUAUUAUGUGGACAGUCUGCACGAGAAUCCUUAUAAAGAAUCCAUAAAUAGCAAGACAAGAUAGAAAACACUGAAAUGACUGAAAAAUUCUCUUAAGGGGAAACACCUGACAAAUUCAGCAUCGUUUACAUACGAAGCAUACAUAAUAUUCAGUGAUCAUAGUACAUUACAGCAUGUUAGUAAGCUAAUUGAUAUCUUUCCCCGAAAUUUCGUGCUAUUAAAAUUGCACUGAGCUAGCAAUAUCUACUAAUAUGUAAAUAUGCAGAGUUUGAAGGCGUACUUGUGUAUAUUUGUAUGUUAAGCAAUACAGCGUUUUGUGCAUGGACUCCUUUUGGGUCUCUGUAUUUUCCACUCACAAAACAUCCUCUGUAUAGCUAGGCUAUUCAUGAGGGCAGCACAAUGAGAAGCAGUAACUCUGAAUGGUUAUAGUAAUAACUCUGAAACCAUGCAAGGACAGAUAACAAUUCAGAAAACUAAAAGACUUCUUCCUUACUAAUGAAGGGCAAUAUGGAGCCUGAUCCAUUUAUGAGAAGGAUUACACAAAGUCAGUACUUGUCAGGGUGGAGAACCUGAAGCUAGAAGUCCAAGUGUCUCCAUGUCCAUUUUUCUAUGCUUAUGUGUAAAAAACAUAAUACACCAAAGUGUUUCAAAAAUACACGUGUUUGUUAGAGAAUCACAGAAUAAUGGAUACUGGAGAAAAACCUCCUUAGAUUGUCUAGUCCAUCUCAAAGCAGGAUCAACCAGAUGCAUUUGCUCAGGACCUUCUCCACUUGUGUUUUGAACAUCUUCAAGGAUGGAGAUUCCUCAGCCUGUCUGAGCAACUUGUUCUGGUGUUCAACCACUCUCACAGUAAAAAAAUAAAAAUAAAAAAAAUUACUUAAGAUAAAAUGGAUUUUUAAAUUAGAAUCAUAAAGCUAUAUUUAAUCAGUUUAUUUUCCAUGAGAUUUUCAGAAUAGUUUCCCAAAUAAGAAACGUUAGUAUCUUGAACAUGAUGGUCUGAAAAAUGAAAUGUAACAAGGUACAAUGAUUCUCCAGAUCAUACCAAGCUGCAGAGUCAGGGACAAAAUCCAUGUCACAAUUCUCAAGCUCUUGCUCCAGCAAUUGAUUAAAUUAUAUCUGGCAUUGUUUCUGAUUGCAUCAUAUAAGCAGGGACUUAUUUUUGUGGUUAUAGGAUUCUUGGGACCUGGAUAUUAUGUUGGAUUUUAUUCAAUAAAAUGCAUAUAUGUGA